RNAcentral lists this long non-coding RNA (1220 nucleotides) under Struthio camelus australis. RNAcentral's name for it is "lncRNA (ENSSCUG00000007380.1)". Lineage: Eukaryota; Metazoa; Chordata; Aves; Struthioniformes; Struthionidae. The record is from RNAcentral.
CUGAGGUUCUGUUGAUUUUGUCAGUUUUUAGUAUCUGGGAGCUUACACUGGUAUAUAAGGCUUGAUUAGCCAAUCCAGAACUGGAAAUAUAUUCUCACUCUGGAUUUAGCCUAGCAUUAAUACAGCCACUUUAAGCUUCUGGAGGGAAGAGAGAUGCAUAGUGAUAAACCGUUAUUUUAUUUUAACUCAGAAGCACCUCUAGCUUACCUAACUCAUUUAUUCACCUUUACUACACGCAGAAUGACCCAAUGGCAAAAAACGAGGCUUGGAAGGACCACUAAGAUCUCUUCUGAACCGGUAUAACGCCCAUUUGCCCAUUGUAACUGCCUGCAGGAUGACCACCAGCUGUUACUGCAUCAAAACAGACACACAGAGGGAAGCAACAGAGUUGCCAUGGGAACUGCAGUGAAGCAUAUGAUGGUAGAACUUUCAGCUAGCUAUCUCUGGCUUCUGUGGUCUCUGGAAGGCACAAGGGUUAUCGCUGGAAUGUCAUCAGCUGUUGACAGGCUUCCUGAACCCUCGAGCAGUACAGGAAUAUUAUAUCAUUUAAAGUAUUUCUUGAAAGCAACUAAGCAACAGCUACACAACCCAGUUUUUAAGUUUCUUCAGUUUGAUCGGACCUCCGAAAUCUGAUGACUGUUUGAACUUCCAGGAAUAUAAUUAUGCUUGUUAAAAUCUUAACAUCCAGCAAACCACUCGAAACAGUCCCGAACUGUUGAAAUAUGACAGUAGCUGUAGUUAUCUCUGAUUUACACUAAAUCAAGAUAAAUUGAUCUUCUCUAGUCUGAAAUUCUGAAAAGAGUUAAUCAUUUAGAAAUAUUAAUCUGAUACAGUAAUAUGUUCACUGAGGAUAUAUGAAUAAGAUAAGAUCUAAUUUAGGCUUUUAUCCACAUCAAAGGUUAUCAAGUACUGAAUGAGCUUCAUCUUUGAGAUCCUAACCUAGUCUAGGUCACCAGAACACAAUAGAACAUUAAUUUAUGUAAUUGAGCUUUGUAUGUUUCUAUCUAGUCAGUGAGGACAGUUAUAAUGAGUCAUAUUCAAUCAUGCAGUUUGCUCAUCUUAACAGGGAUGUUCAUUUGUGGACAUAUCACAAUGUGGUUUUGCUAAUGGAAACUCUGCAACAUGCUAUGGAGUAACUCUGAGUAUGAUAGACUAACUCCGAAAAGAUCUUGAGUUCAUCUCUAUAAACUUGUUUGGGAAUAAAGAGGUGCUGUGGAACA